Non-coding RNA from Cinara cedri, 1315 nucleotides. The record is from the annotation of a GenBank genome assembly. NCBI's taxonomy places the organism in Eukaryota, Metazoa, Arthropoda, Insecta, Hemiptera, Aphididae.
GUAGGUACUAAUAAAAUCUAAACAUAUUGAGAUGCUAGCCAAAUAAUUCAAUAAACGAUAAACUUUAAUAACGUAAUAAUAAUAAUUAGAUACCUAUAUAGUAUAAUAAUAAUAAUAAUAAUUAUAAUAGUAAUAGUAUCAUUGUAUUAAAGAAAAUACAUUUAAAAAAAAAAAAAAAAAAAUUAUACACUGUAAAACAAUAAUAUUAUGGUCAGUAAAGCUAUAUUAUAUUUAAAUCGUUUUCAAACAAUAAAAAAUUAUACGGAUAAACAUUUAUAAUUAUUAUUAUACACUGAAUAGUAUAUUAAUAUAUUUAUUGUACAGGGUGAUUAAUAUUAUAUCGCAAGACACUGAUUAUCUCAGAAAGUAUUAAUUUCAUCUAUAUUUAUCAAAUUUUUAAUAUUGUCAUUUGAAAAUCAAAAUAUUAUAAUGGUUUUAACACCAAACAUAAUAAGGGUUACAAAAAAUAAGUGUAACGUAACAUUUAAGAACUGCUUGUUUUAUAAAUUUUUCAAAAAAAAAAAAAAAAAAUAGUUAAUACUUUCCGAAAUUUCCGAGUCUAUUACACAUUAUACGUUACAAUAAUAUAUGAUCAUCUGUAUAGGUAGGUAGACCUUAAUCUUAUACACAUACAUAUAUAUAUAUAUAUUUAUAAUAAAAUUAAUAAUAUAAUAACUUAGACGACUCAGAGUCGUUCUUAAAAUGUCUUGUAAAAUGUUAGCGUUAAUAACCGAUGGUAAACCAACAGAAUGUUCCCUACAGUUUGCGGCAAAUUCAUAGCCAUUUAGCGCUAACGGGAUACCGUAAGAACGGUCCUCAAAAUAAUGUAAUAUAAUUUUUUUAAAAAUUGUUUUUACUAUAAUAUUAUAAUGUUACACAUAGAAUUUCAUUUUAAACAUAAUAUUUUAGAUAUAGGCACGUUUAUAGUUACACGAGGCGUUUGAUCACGUGUGUGUGUUUGUCCCGAUCGAUCGAAUUUAUCGCGUCUGUCCCGAACGUCCCGGAAUUUAAUUAUUUUUCGAAACGCUAUAAUCUUUUUACCGGGUCGUAACAAAAUAUCUAGACGGCCGACUCUUUUGGACAUAAUCAAUAUUGUAUAAAGAUAAAUUUUUAAAAUAUAUAGAUAAAGAUAAGAGAUAAUUUCUAGAAUAAUAUUUAUCUAGACGAAUAUAAAAGAUACAUAGCAAUUUAGCUAUCUAGAUAAAAAAAAAAAAAUAUACGAAUAAUAUAAUAAUAUUAUUCAAUUCGUUAUUAACUAUCAUAAAACUAAGCGUUAAAAGUAAAUAGCUAAUGGGACGAAAGAGGUAACUAAUAG